GGACCAGUGGUGCAAUGGAUACCGUGUCUGAUUACGGAUCAGAAGAUUCUAGGUUGGACUCCUGGCUGGCUUG
RNAcentral lists this transfer RNA (73 nucleotides) under Pangasius djambal. RNAcentral describes it as "tRNA-Arg". The record is from RNAcentral. Lineage: Eukaryota; Metazoa; Chordata; Actinopteri; Siluriformes; Pangasiidae.